This 625-nucleotide long non-coding RNA is filed under the name Hordeum vulgare. RNAcentral describes it as "long non-coding RNA (HVUL_LNC003019)". Lineage: Eukaryota; Viridiplantae; Streptophyta; Magnoliopsida; Poales; Poaceae. The record is from RNAcentral.
AGGUGCCUCAACAAUAUAAUAAUGCGCAAACCAAUACAUAUCCAGAAGCUUAUCCACAGGCACCUAAUAAUAGAGCCAAUGUUCCAAGCAAUACAUAUCCAGAAGUUUACCCGCAAUCACAUAAUGCAGCCUACUCAGCAUAUAGUGGAUAUCAACCUCAAGCCCCAACACAAAUGUUUGUUCCGAAGAGCACAACAGUGGACAGCCAGGUAUUUUGUUAUGUUGUAACUCUUAUUUUAGGUCAAGUGUCUUGUGUUAGAAUUAGUGAGUUGAAUUUUACAUUGCCAUGUUGCUCUCUAUUCUGGUCUACUAUGGAAUAUCUGAUCUAAAUAAAAUGCAAAAUUAUGAUGUGUGAUUUCUGAACAGAUAAGUGAUCCUCCAUUUACUAUUUUUUUAUUAUUAUCUGUAAGUAUACGCUACUAUUUACUUCUUGGCCCCAGUUUGCAGUUGCUAAAAUGUCCUGUGCUGAACCUGUUUCAUAAUUUGCUGUGAAAAAUAGCCGCGUUAACAGGAAUAACAGGAAAAAGCUAGUUAGCCAAACAAUAAAUAGGCUAAGCUGUUUGAAAAGCUAGAUUAUUUUAUCUAGGAAAUUAUGAUGUUUGUUUAUUUUGAUGUUCGUUUAGUG